RNAcentral lists this unclassified non-coding RNA (398 nucleotides) under uncultured Hygrophorus. RNAcentral describes it as "sequence contains ITS2". The stretch from base 1 to 154 matches the Rfam family "5.8S ribosomal RNA". Lineage: Eukaryota; Fungi; Basidiomycota; Agaricomycetes; Agaricales; Hygrophoraceae. The record is from RNAcentral.
AACUUUCAGCAAUGGAUCUCUUGGCUCUCGCAUCGAUGAAGAACGCAGCGAAAUGCGAUAAGUAAUGUGAAUUGCAGAAUUCAGGUAAUCAUCGAAUCUUUGGACGCACCUUGCGCUCCUUGGUAUUCCGAGGAGCAUGCCUGUUUGAGUGUCAUCAAAUUCUCAAACCUCUCUAAUUUAUGUAGAGAGGCCUUUGGACUUGGCGUGUUGCUGGCUUCAUUUGUCAGCUCCUCUUAUAUGCAUUAGCUUGUACCUUGUGGAUAAGCUUUGGUUUGAUAAUAUCUAUGCCAUCGCGGUGAAACAAAGGUCUGCUUCUAAACGAUUCAGAUCAUUAACGAUUUGACCUCACAUCAGGUAGGACUACCAGCUGCACUUAAGAAUAUCAAUAAGGGGAGGCU